RNAcentral lists this unclassified non-coding RNA (89 nucleotides) under Pseudomonas corrugata. Lineage: Bacteria; Pseudomonadati; Pseudomonadota; Gammaproteobacteria; Pseudomonadales; Pseudomonadaceae. The record is from RNAcentral.
UGUGUGAGCGAGCCUGCUCGCGACAGCGCCGGGUCAGACGAAUGAGUGUUGUCUGAUACACCGCCAUCGCGAGCAGGCUCGCUCCCACA